CAGAACGAACGCUGGCGGCGACGUCUUAAGCAUGCAAGUCGAACGGCAAGAGGUAGCAAUACCUCCUAGAGUGGCGGACUGGUGAGUAACACGUGGGUGACAUACCCUUCAGAUGGGGAUAGCUAUUAGAAAUAGUAGAUAAUACCGAAUACGAGCACAGGGGUUAGAGAUCUGUGAGGAAAGGAGCUAAGGCUCCGCUGAAGGAAUGGCCUGCGGCCCAUUAGCUAGUUGGUGAGGUAAGAGCCCACCAAGGCGAUGAUGGGUAUCCGGCCUUAGAGGGUGAACGGACACAUUGGGACUGAGAUACGGCCCAGACUCCUACGGGAGGCAGCAGCUAAGAAUAUUCCGCAAUGGACGAAAGUCUGACGGAGCGACGCCGCGUGGAUGAAGAAGGCCGGAAGGUUGUAAAAUCCUUUUGAAACUGAAGAAUAAGCGUUGUAGGGAAUGACAGCGUGGUGACAGUAGGUUUUGAAUAAGCAACGGCUAAUUACGUGCCAGCAGCCGC
RNAcentral lists this ribosomal RNA (505 nucleotides) under uncultured bacterium. RNAcentral describes it as "bacterial SSU rRNA". It matches the Rfam family "Bacterial small subunit ribosomal RNA", at positions 25 to 518 of the family's 1533-position model. The record is from RNAcentral.